UGCGCAGGCGGGCUUGUAAGUCAGUGGUGAAAUACUGCCGCUUAACGGUAGAACUGCCAUUGAUACUGCGAGUCUUGAAUAUGGUUGAGGUAGGCGGAAUGUGUUGUGUAGCGGUGAAAUGCAUAGAUAUGACACAGAACGCCAAUUGCGAAGGCAGCUUACUAAGCCAUUAUUGACGCUGAGGCACGAAAGCGUGGGGAGCGAACCGGAUUAGAGACCCGAGUAGUCC
RNAcentral lists this ribosomal RNA (229 nucleotides) under uncultured bacterium. Its description in RNAcentral is "partial 16S ribosomal RNA". It matches the Rfam family "Bacterial small subunit ribosomal RNA", at positions 568 to 796 of the family's 1533-position model. The record is from RNAcentral.